This is a long non-coding RNA of Sander lucioperca (pikeperch), 413 nucleotides long. RefSeq lists it as uncharacterized. The record is from RefSeq and is a predicted model, not a curated record. NCBI's taxonomy places the organism in Eukaryota, Metazoa, Chordata, Actinopteri, Perciformes, Percidae. The transcript has 3 exons.
UCUCAUCAGGAGAAGGCCUGUAUAAAGAGAGAGUGCCUGCUGCAAACAGCAGCCACACAGAGUCAUGGAUCAGUUUACAUUGUACUUCUCUCUCCUGUUGGCGUUCCUACUUUAUAAUGCUCAACCAGCAGCUCCAACAGGCUGUGCAGGUCCACCCCUGCUGUGUUGUCCUGGUCAAAACGACUCCUGCUACAGGGGAUGUUAUUGUGAUGAGGCCUGCUUGAACUUAGGCGGCUGCUGUCCUGACUACAUUUCAACCUGUGUGCAACGUGAGUGAGGGUGAACACAAAAAAUUUAAAAAUACACUGUUAUGUCAGUUUAGGAUUUGAGAUGAGGUUUAAUAUUAAUAGUGCAAAUCUUUAUUCUUGAUUACAGCUUUAACCACUGCACCGCCAAGCACACCCAGCACAACA